Molecule: ribosomal RNA, 253 nt
Filed under: uncultured bacterium
Lineage: Bacteria
Description: partial 16S ribosomal RNA
Rfam family: Bacterial small subunit ribosomal RNA
Source: RNAcentral
GACGGGGGGGGCAAGUGUUCUUCGGAAUGACUGGGCUUAAAGGGUGCGUAGGCUGCGCGGAAAGUUGGGUGUGAAAUCCCUCGGCUCAACCGAGGAACUGCGCCCAAAACUACCGUGCUCGAGGGAGACAGAGGUGAGCGGAACUUAGGGUGGAGCGGUGAAAUGCGUUGAUAUCCUAAGGAACACCCGUGGCGAAAGCGGCUCACUGGGUCUCUUCUGACGCUGAGGCACGAAAGCUAGGGUAGCGAACGGG